RNAcentral lists this small nucleolar RNA (139 nucleotides) under Dichanthelium oligosanthes. RNAcentral's name for it is "Small nucleolar RNA Z247". It matches the Rfam family "Small nucleolar RNA Z247". From Rfam's summary of the family: Z247 is a member of the C/D class of snoRNA which contain the C (UGAUGA) and D (CUGA) box motifs. Lineage: Eukaryota; Viridiplantae; Streptophyta; Magnoliopsida; Poales; Poaceae. The record is from Rfam by way of RNAcentral.
CCAUUGGAUGACGAUGAACUAGUGGAAUACAUCCUUCCUGGCCUUGACGAGGAAUACGACUCAUUUGUCAACGCGGUUCUUGCAUGCAUCGAUCCGAUUACUGUAAGUGACCUUGUUUCGUAGAUGCUAUCGUUCGAGA